AGAGUUUGAUCCUGGCUCAGGACGAACGCUGGCGGCGUGCCUAAUACAUGCAAGUCGUACGCUUCUUUUUCCACCGGAGCUUGCUCCACCGGAAAAAGAAGAGUGGCGAACGGGUGAGUAACACGUGGGUAACCUGCCCAUCAGAAGGGGAUAACACUUGGAAACAGGUGCUAAUACCGUAUAACAAUCGAAACCGCAUGGUUUUGAUUUGAAAGGCGCUUUCGGGUGUCGCUGAUGGAUGGACCCGCGGUGCAUUAGCUAGUUGGUGAGGUAACGGCUCACCAAGGCUACGAUGCAUAGCCGACCUGAGAGGGUGAUCGGCCACAUUGGGACUGAGACACGGCCCAAACUCCUACGGGAGGCAGCAGUAGGGAAUCUUCGGCAAUGGACGAAAGUCUGACCGAGCAACGCCGCGUGAGUGAAGAAGGUUUUCGGAUCGUAAAACUCUGUUGUUAGAGAAGAACAAGGAUGAGAGUAACUGUUCAUCCCUUGACGGUAUCUAACCAGAAAGCCACGGCUAACUACGUGCCAGCAGCCGCGGUAAUACGUAGGUGGCAAGCGUUGUCCGGAUUUAUUGGGCGUAAAGCGAGCGCAGGCGGUUUCUUAAGUCUGAUGUGAAAGCCCCCGGCUCAACCGGGGAGGGUCAUUGGAAACUGGGAGACUUGAGUGCAGAAGAGGAGAGUGGAAUUCCAUGUGUAGCGGUGAAAUGCGUAGAUAUAUGGAGGAACACCAGUGGCGAAGGCGGCUCUCUGGUCUGUAACUGACGCUGAGGCUCGAAAGCGUGGGGAGCAAACAGGAUUAGAUACCCUGGUAGUCCACGCCGUAAACGAUGAGUGCUAAGUGUUGGAGGGUUUCCGCCCUUCAGUGCUGCAGCUAACGCAUUAAGCACUCCGCCUGGGGAGUACGACCGCAAGGUUGAAACUCAAAGGAAUUGACGGGGGCCCGCACAAGCGGUGGAGCAUGUGGUUUAAUUCGAAGCAACGCGAAGAACCUUACCAGGUCUUGACAUCCUUUGACCACUCUAGAGAUAGAGCUUCCCCUUCGGGGGCAAAGUGACAGGUGGUGCAUGGUUGUCGUCAGCUCGUGUCGUGAGAUGUUGGGUUAAGUCCCGCAACGAGCGCAACCCUUAUUGUUAGUUGCCAUCAUUCAGUUGGGCACUCUAGCAAGACUGCCGGUGACAAACCGGAGGAAGGUGGGGAUGACGUCAAAUCAUCAUGCCCCUUAUGACCUGGGCUACACACGUGCUACAAUGGGAAGUACAACGAGUCGCGAAGUCGCGAGGCUAAGCUAAUCUCUUAAAGCUUCUCUCAGUUCGGAUUGUAGGCUGCAACUCGCCUACAUGAAGCCGGAAUCGCUAGUAAUCGCGGAUCAGCACGCCGCGGUGAAUACGUUCCCGGGCCUUGUACACACCGCCCGUCACACCACGAGAGUUUGUAACACCCGAAGUCGGUGAGGUAACCUUUUGGAGCCAGCCGCCUAAGGUGGGAUAGAUGAUUGGGGUGAAGUCGUAACAAGGUAGCCGUAG
This 1525-nucleotide ribosomal RNA is filed under the name Enterococcus durans. RNAcentral's name for it is "bacterial SSU rRNA". It matches the Rfam family "Bacterial small subunit ribosomal RNA". Lineage: Bacteria; Bacillati; Bacillota; Bacilli; Lactobacillales; Enterococcaceae. The record is from RNAcentral.